Molecule: non-coding RNA, 299 nt
Organism: Caretta caretta (loggerhead turtle)
Lineage: Eukaryota; Metazoa; Chordata; Testudines; Cheloniidae
Source: RefSeq, a predicted model, not a curated record
CUGAGCUUUGUAUCUGUCACUCUAGACAUAUCAGGAUGAUCUCCCAGACUCAGCUACUUUGGCUCCUCGUGCUCUGCAUUCAAGAUUCCAGUGGACAGACUGUGAUGACUCAGACUCCAGAAUUCCUGGCAGUGUCUCCAGGAGACAGAGUCACCAUCAACUGCAAAGCCAGUUCCAGUGUUAGCAACUGGAUGGCCUGGUACCAACAGAAAUCAGGACAGGCUCCUAAGCUCCUUAUAUAUGAUGCUUCCAGCCGUCCCUCUGGGAUCCCAGACCGGUUCAGUGGCAGUGGGUCUGGC